GCUGCUCGCCUCUUCGUGGAUUCCAGAGCUUGCUUUAUUCCUCAGCAGCCUUUCUACAGACUGGUGGAUUCAGUCACAGUUGAAAAUUGUGGAACUGUGGUUUGUUUCAGAAAGAGAAGAAAGGAGAGUUUAAGUAUUGCUUUGGCAGCAGAUGGCUCUGCUUUGGAUUCUUUUAUACACAAAGGAGAUGUGUUUGCUGGCUUUGUAAUUAACUCAAAAAGGGAAAAGACAAAUUGUGAAAGGCAGUGUGGAUAUGACUUGAAUUUUUCAUCAGGCUCUCAACACCAUAGUAUUUAUUACUAGAGGUGAAGAAUGACCUCCUUCCAGCUAGUUUCCCAAUAAUUCCUACUUCAAAAAGGAAUUAAGGUGAGUUAAGAGUUGAGUUUUGAAAGGUACGCGUAGAACAUACUUAUCUUUCAAUUUUAACAACAACUCUUCACAUCCUUCUUUUUUUCCUUUCCCAGGUUGGAAACAACCUCUUUCUGGCCAGAGAGCUGGUGAGCCUUUGAUUUAAGAUUAACUUUUUAACUCAGUGAUAAAUUCAGACCCAUCAAGAUAUUCUGCUGAAGCUAAUUCUUCGCAUUAAUAUUACUUUUAUAGCAAUGGAAUUGUGCUAAUAGAUUUUUCUGCUUGACACCUGUUUAAGUUAGAACUGGAAGAAGAAUCAACUCUGUGUCAAAAAAAUCUGAGAAAAUUUUGGGGGCAUCAUUUGUCAAACUUGUACAACAGUGAAAGGUGUGUAGGGAAAUGAGACAACCUUUGGCAACCACUGAUAUGGAAUUAACUAUGUGUAUAACUAAGAUGUGAUCUUUGGUUUACAUUUUUCUCAAAUUAGAUUGAUGAAAAAGGACACGCUAUCUUUAAUACAUAAACAGAAAGGAAACUCCCUUACAGGUGCCAUUCAUAGAGGUGUUAAAUAUCACUUAAGCUCUAGCACCUAUCAUUUUGAUUAAGCCAGAGGGAUUUGAUGUAUUAGCUUACAUUGCUUUGUAGUUCUAGAGAAAAUGUGUGUGAUGUCUAAGCUAGCAAUGUGAUGGCAGGACCCAAUUCUUCUUUUCUGAUCAUAAAAAAAGCAACUGAUUAUCCUUACUGGAAUUCCUUAAACGUUGAUAAAUCUUUGGCUGAGAGAGAUCUUAAAUUAUUUUAUUUUGAAAAGUUUAUCCACAGUUGCUAAAAGAAGAGUUGUAUGAAAAUGUUCAUACAAGUUUAAUCAGAGCUAUCGCUGCUAUUUCUUGUACAUCACCAUCAGUUACAGGUCUGUAACGCUGCCAGUGCAGAACCUCGGAAAGGCAACAGCCUGCAUCUAUCUAUAACUAUAUACAUAAACCCACUAAUACUCAACCACAGGCUUUUCCAGUGCUAUAAUUAAUUCAAUUAAAUUUGAUCAAAACUUCAAGGACAACAACUAUGAUAGACUCAUAGUAAUCGUUGCCUUGGAAAGCCCCAUACAAAGCGUAUUCUAAACCAUACUGGGGUUUGUCCAU
Molecule: long non-coding RNA, 1484 nt
Filed under: Falco tinnunculus (common kestrel)
Lineage: Eukaryota; Metazoa; Chordata; Aves; Falconiformes; Falconidae
Description: lncRNA (ENSFTIG00000009705.1)
Source: RNAcentral